GAAGAAUCUCAACAUACAGUCCUCAGCAGCUUUAGCAUGGGCAACAAAUUAAGUCUCUGUAAAAGGCCCAAAGGACAGGGUUUGGUGAGAUUCUGGAGAGCUGGAAACAUGGAGGUUGACAGGAAUGUAAAGAAGAACUCAUUUACAUGCCAGGAGGGUGGAACACCCCAAUUCCAUGAGGAUAACUGCUCCUGUACUCCAGACCUCACCCCAUGUGUCUCUUCAUCUGGCUGGUUAUUUGUCCUUUAAGAUCUCCUUACUCAACCAGUAAAUGUGUCUUUACAUUGUUUUAGUCUUGAACUAGAAGAUGAAAGCAUCAAAUAAAGAAAUAUACUGUGGGUAUAUGGAUUACAAAAAAAGUGCUGGAUGUUCCAUGCCCUCAAACAUUGGACUCCAAGCUCUUCAGCUUUGGGACUUCAACUGGCUUCCUUGCUCCUCGGCUUACAGAUGGCCUAUUGUGGGACCCUGUGAUCGUGUACUCUUAUAAGGAAUAGAGGAGAAGAGAAAAGAAGAGAAGACAAGAGAAGAGAAAGAGAAGAUUGCAAGAAGGGAAGACAAGAGAAGAGAAAGAGAAAGAGAAGAAGACAAGAGAAGAGAAAGAGAAAGAGAAGAUGCGAAAUAGACGCAUGCAUUUAUUGAAUUUUAAUUUAUGACAGAAGUAGCAUAGUCAAUAACUGAGGAGUGGAAGGACAAUAUAAUCAGAUAAAUUGAAAAAUGCUUAUUGACAUGGAAAUAUCAAAGGAAAAAUAUACCAUGUGCCCACUGAUAAAAAAUAAAUGGAAUAUUCAUGAAAGGUCCCAAUUACUGUUACAAUAAUUUUUUAAAUAAUUAGGCAUUUGGAUUUUAUGUGCUUUUUGAUUUGAGUAGUUUAAAGUGUUUUAAAUAACAUUAAAUAUUAUUAUAAUUAUAAUAAUUAUUAUUUUUGAGACCGAGUCAUCUUGCUCUAUUGCCCAGGCUCUAGUUCAGUGGUGCGAUCUCAACUCACUGCAACCUCCGCCUCCUAGGUUCAAGUGAAUCUCAUGCCUCAGCCUCCUGAGUAACUGGGACUACAGGCAUGUUCCACUACACCUGGAUAAUUUUUGUGUUUUUGUAGUAGAGACUGGGUUUCUCCAUGUUGGCCAGGCUGGUCUUGAACUCCUGACCUCAAGUGAUAUGCUUGCAUUGACCUCCCAAAGUGCUGAGAUUCCAGGUGUGAGCCACUGCACCCGGUCCAUUAAAUAUUAUUUUAAUUAUAUUAGGUCAAAUAUUUUUGUUUCUUUCCUGAAUUUUAACACUAUUUAGAAUGAGUACAUAGUUGUUAGCUAAUAAAAUCUGUAGUUCAAAAAUUAUUUUGUGACUUACUGAGCAUUUCACUUGAUCAAUUUUUAUAAAUGUUUCAUGAUCUCUUAAAAAGAAAUGUAAGUAGCAUGUUAUAGUAGUAUCUUCCGUCAUCAUAAUAGUAUGUUCUAUAUGUAUCAUGUGUCAUACUUCUGUCAUUUUUGUUUUAUUAGUGCUUUGCUUAUUUCACAGAUUCUGCUUUUGUUUAUUUGUUUCUUAAUAAACUUUCUAAAUCUGCUAGUUUGGGAGGUUUCGACUUUCAUAUUGGUGCACAUUUAACUUUAUAUAAUAUGCUUGAUCAUCUAUUUACUGAUGCAUAGACUUCAGAGAGUGUCUUCUCUUAACUAUCCACUUUGAUCGAUGAAAAAAUAACGACCACUCCUGAUUUUAGUAGUUUUGUUGGUUUUCAUAUAUAUGAAAUGCUACUGUAUGAAUAAAAAUCAAAUGUAGAUCUAUUUUUCUAUUGUUUCUUCCCCAGUGAUACUUUUCAGAUAAGAAUAUGGGCAAAUAAUGAUUGCAGAUUCCAUCUUUGGUUUUAUUCUUUUUGCUAAACAUUUUAUUCUGAGGUAUAGCUGGUCAAUUCGAUAGCUCAUGAUCUUAAAAAUGUCUUUGUAUUCUAUUUCUUUUUUUUUUUAAAUUCAAUUAUUUAGCCUCAUUGACUACAUCAUUCCUCCAGGCAGAAGGUGCAAAAGACAGCAAAACUUGAGGACUUUCACCAAGGAUGUGCUAGGAGGGGACGUGGGAAAUGGAUUAUUCCUUGAACAUUUUCCCUGGGCCAUUCUCUUCCUUUUUUAUUUUUGUUCUGGUUACAUGGGGCUUUCAAGACUCAAGCAAUUGUUUGUUUUUUUUUUUUUACUUUAAUUUUUUUAGUAUUUCAAAUGUUUUUAUUAUGAAAAAUUUAAAUAUGUAUAAAAUAUGAGAAAUUAUAUAAUUCAUCCCCAGAUAUACGUCACCCAGCUUCUAUAAUUAUUAAUUCUGUCCAAUUAUUUUAUCUAUACUACCAUGCUGUUUCUCUUCCUUUCUCCUGGAUUAGUUUGGAGAAAACACC
RNAcentral lists this long non-coding RNA (2365 nucleotides) under Homo sapiens (human). RNAcentral describes it as "HSALNT0319909". The record is from RNAcentral. Lineage: Eukaryota; Metazoa; Chordata; Mammalia; Primates; Hominidae.